Molecule: ribosomal RNA, 725 nt
Filed under: uncultured Staphylococcus sp.
Lineage: Bacteria; Bacillati; Bacillota; Bacilli; Caryophanales; Staphylococcaceae
Description: bacterial SSU rRNA
Rfam family: Bacterial small subunit ribosomal RNA
Source: RNAcentral
GCCUAAUACAUGCAAGUCGAGCGAACGGACGAGAAGCUUGCUUCUCUGAUGUUAGCGGCGGACGGGUGAGUAACACGUGGAUAACCUACCUAUAAGACUGGGAUAACUUCGGGAAACCGGAGCUAAUACCGGAUAAUAUUUUGAACCGCAUGGUUCAAAAGUGAAAGACGGUCUUGCUGUCACUUAUAGAUGGAUCCGCGCUGCAUUAGCUAGUUGGUAAGGUAACGGCUUACCAAGGCAACGAUGCAUAGCCGACCUGAGAGGGUGAUCGGCCACACUGGAACUGAGACACGGUCCAGACUCCUACGGGAGGCAGCAGUAGGGAAUCUUCCGCAAUGGGCGAAAGCCUGACGGAGCAACGCCGCGUGAGUGAUGAAGGUCUUCGGAUCGUAAAACUCUGUUAUUAGGGAAGAACAUAUGUGUAAGUAACUGUGCACAUCUUGACGGUACCUAAUCAGAAAGCCACGGCUAACUACGUGCCAGCAGCCGCGGUAAUACGUAGGUGGCAAGCGUUAUCCGGAAUUAUUGGGCGUAAAGCGCGCGUAGGCGGUUUUUUAAGUCUGAUGUGAAAGCCCACGGCUCAACCGUGGAGGGUCAUUGGAAACUGGAAAACUUGAGUGCAGAAGAGGAAAGUGGAAUUCCAUGUGUAGCGGUGAAAUGCGCAGAGAUAUGGAGGAACACCAGUGGCGAAGGCGACUUUCUGGUCUGUAACUGACGCUGAUGUG